GAAAUGCGAUAAGUAAUGUGAAUUGCAGAAUUCAGUGAAUCAUCGAAUCUUUGAACGCACAUUGCGCCCGUCAGCAUUCUGGCGGGCAUGCCUGUUCGAGCGUCAUUUCAACCCUCAGGACCCCCCUUUCGCGGGGAGGGACCUGGCGUUGGGGAUCGGCCCGCCCCCCGUGGCGGCGCCGUCCCCGAAAUCUAGUGGCGGUCUCGCUGCAGCCUCCCCUGCGUAGUAGUUACAACCUCGCAUCGGAGCGCGGCGCGGCCACGCCGUAAAACCCCCGACUUUCUGAAUGUUGACCUCGAAUCAGGUAGGAAUACCCGCUGAACUUAAGC
Molecule: unclassified non-coding RNA, 329 nt
Filed under: plant metagenome
Description: partial contains 5.8S ribosomal RNA, internal transcribed spacer 2, and large subunit ribosomal RNA
Rfam family: 5.8S ribosomal RNA (bases 1-105)
Source: RNAcentral